GGGUUAGGUUCGGUUACUNAGGCGGUGCGCUAACCCGCAAGGGAGGCAGCCGACCACGGUAGGGUCAGCGACUGGGGUG
RNAcentral lists this ribosomal RNA (79 nucleotides) under uncultured bacterium. RNAcentral's name for it is "partial 16S ribosomal RNA". The record is from RNAcentral.